This 385-nucleotide unclassified non-coding RNA is filed under the name uncultured bacterium. RNAcentral's name for it is "contains 16S-23S intergenic spacer region". The record is from RNAcentral.
UCCUGGUUUCCCAGGCAGUCCCAUCAGAGUGCCUUGCAAAGCAAAUAGCAACUGACAGCAAGGGUUGCGCUCGUUAGAGGACUUAACCAAACAUCUCACGACACGAGCUGACGGCAGCCAUGCAGCACCUGUGUAAUUGUCCGAACCGAAAUCCGGAAGAUCGUGUUUCUACGACUGUCAAAAACAUGUCAAGCCUAGGUAAGGUUCCUCGCGUACUGUCGAAUUAAACCACAUGUUCCACCGCUUGUUCGGACCCCCGUCAAUUCCUUUGAGUUUUAAUCUUGCGACCGUACUUCCCAGGCGAACCACUUAACGCGUUAGCUACGACACCAACCCGGCUAAGCCAAGCUGACGUCUAGUGAUUAUCGUUUACAGCGUGGACUAC